CAGGCUUAACACAUGCAAGUCGAGGGGCAGCAUGGUCUUAGCUUGCUAAGGCCGAUGGCGACCGGCGCACGGGUGAGUAACACGUAUCCAACCUGCCGUCUACUCUUGGACAGCCUUCUGAAAGGAAGAUUAAUACAAGAUGGCAUCAUGAGUCCGCAUGUUCACAUGAUUAAAGGUAUUCCGGUAGACGAUGGGGAUGCGUUCCAUUAGAUAGUAGGCGGGGUAACGGCCCACCUAGUCUUCGAUGGAUAGGGGUUCUGAGAGGAAGGUCCCCCACAUUGGAACUGAGACACGGUCCAAACUCCUACGGGAGGCAGCAGUGAGGAAUAUUGGUCAAUGGGCGAGAGCCUGAACCAGCCAAGUAGCGUGAAGGAUGACUGCCCUAUGGGUUGUAAACUUCUUUUAUAAAGGAAUAAAGUCGGGUAUGGAUACCCGUUUGCAUGUACUUUAUGAAUAGGGAUCGGCUAACUCCGUGCCAGCAGCCGCGGUAAUACGGAGGAUCCGAGCGUUAUCCGGAUUUAUUGGGUUUAAAGGGAGCGUAGAUGGAUGUUUAAGUCAGUUGUGAAAGUUUGCGGCUCAACCGUAAAAUUGCAGUUGAUACUGGAUAUCUUGAGUGCAGUUGAGGCAGGCGGAAUUCGUGGUGUAGCGGUGAAAUGCUUAGAUAUCACGAAGAACUCCGAUUGCGAAGGCAGCCUGCUAAGCUGCAACUGACAUUGAGGCUCGAAAGUGUGGGUAUCAAACAGGAUUAGAUACCCUGGUAGUCCACACGGUAAACGAUGAAUACUCGCUGUUUGCGAUAUACAGCAAGCGGCCAAGCGAAAGCGUUAAGUAUUCCACCUGGGGAGUACGCCGGCAACGGUGAAACUCAAAGGAAUUGACGGGGGCCCGCACAAGCGGAGGAACAUGUGGUUUAAUUCGAUGAUACGCGAGGAACCUUACCCGGGCUUAAAUUGCAGAUGAAUUACGGUGAAAGCCGUAAGCCGCAAGGCAUCUGUGAAGGUGCUGCAUGGUUGUCGUCAGCUCGUGCCGUGAGGUGUCGGCUUAAGUGCCAUAACGAGCGCAACCCUUGUUGUCAGUUACUAACAGGUUCCGCUGAGGACUCUGACAAGACUGCCAUCGUAAGAUGUGAGGAAGGUGGGGAUGACGUCAAAUCAGCACGGCCCUUACGUCCGGGGCUACACACGUGUUACAAUGGGGGGUACAGAGGGCCGCUACCACGCGAGUGGAUGCCAAUCCCCAAAACCUCUCUCAGUUCGGACUGGAGUCUGCAACCCGACUCCACGAAGCUGGAUUCGCUAGUAAUCGCGCAUCAGCCACGGCGCGGUGAAUACGUUCCCGGGCCUUGUACACACCGCCCGUCAAGCCAUGGGAGCCGGGGGUACCUGAAGUGCGUAACCGCGAGGAGCGCCCUAGGGUAAAACUGGUGACUGGGGCUAAGUCAUAAC
Molecule: ribosomal RNA, 1445 nt
Filed under: uncultured organism
Description: 16S ribosomal RNA
Rfam family: Bacterial small subunit ribosomal RNA
Source: RNAcentral